Molecule: ribosomal RNA, 440 nt
Filed under: uncultured bacterium
Lineage: Bacteria
Description: bacterial SSU rRNA
Rfam family: Bacterial small subunit ribosomal RNA
Source: RNAcentral
CCUACGGGUGGCUGCAGUCGAGGAUCUUCGUCAAUGGGGGCAACCCUGAACGAGCGAUGCCGCGUGCGCGAUGAAGGCCUUCGGGUUGUAAAGCGCUUUAGUGGGGGAGAAAAGCCGCAAGGUGUGAUCUAUCCCAAAAAUAAGCUCGGGCUAAGUUCGUGCCAGCAGCCGCGGUAAGACGAACCGAGCGAACGUUGUUCGGAAUCACUGGGCUUAAAGGGCGCGUAGGCGGGCUAUCAAGUCUGGGGUGAAAUGCCACGGCUCAACCGUGGAACUGCCUCGGAUACUGACGGCCUCGAGGGAGGUAGGGGCAUGCGGAACUGUAGGUGGAGCGGUGAAAUGCGUUGAUAUCUACAGGAACUCCGGUGGCGAAAGCGGCGUGCUGGACCUCUUCUGACGCUGAGGCGCGAAAGCUAGGGGAGCAAACGGGAUUAGAUACC